UCUAAAAGCUUUUUAAAGGAGGUUGUACUUUUUAAACACUCAGUGUGAUAACUAAUUUACAGACAGAGAGACACUUAAAUAAUACGAAGAGUAUGUCACGUAAACUAAACUUUAUCAAUCUGUGGCUGGUGUCGUUCUUAUGGAUGUGGCUAUUUGCAUGUGGAAUUGCUGAAGAAAACGAUUUUGAUACGUCUAAUUUUUUAAGAUCUCGGAGAAACCUGUGCGAAGAACAUGCAGGAUCAUGCAGGUUUUGGUGUCAUCCAAGGUUCCAAAGAUUUGCCAUUAACUGCCUCCGAAACGAAGUAUGCUGUGUUGACUAUUAAACUGCUUAGAAAAAUUUGACAAAAUUGAGCCAUUAAAAAAAUAUAUAUUACAUAAGUUCAUUGCUACAACCGAAAAUCAAUUGCAAUUGCAGUAAAAUUGCAGUAAAAUUUUAAACUCAAUCAAA
Molecule: long non-coding RNA, 448 nt
Organism: Drosophila albomicans
Lineage: Eukaryota; Metazoa; Arthropoda; Insecta; Diptera; Drosophilidae
Exons: 2
Source: RefSeq, a predicted model, not a curated record